AUACGUAGGGGGCAAGCGUUAUCCGGAAUUACUGGGUGUAAAGGGAGCGUAGGCGGCAAUGCAAGUCAGAUGUGAAAGCCCGUGGCUUAACCACGGGACUGCAUUUGAAACUGUAUAGCUAGAGUACAGGAGAGGAAAGUGGAAUUCCUAGUGUAGCGGUGAAAUGCGUAGAUAUUAGGAGGAACACCAGUGGCGAAGGCGGCUUUCUGGACUGUAACUGACGCUGAGGCUCGAAAGCGUGGGGAGCGAACAGGAUUAGAUACCCUGGUAGUCCACGCUGUAAACGAUGAAUGCUAGGUGUUGGCCCGUAGAGGGUCGGUGCCGCAGUAAACACAUUAAGCAUUCCACCUGGGGAGUACGAUCGCAAGAUUGAA
RNAcentral lists this ribosomal RNA (374 nucleotides) under uncultured bacterium. RNAcentral's name for it is "bacterial SSU rRNA". It matches the Rfam family "Bacterial small subunit ribosomal RNA", at positions 523 to 898 of the family's 1533-position model. The record is from RNAcentral.